This 465-nucleotide ribosomal RNA is filed under the name uncultured bacterium. RNAcentral describes it as "partial 16S ribosomal RNA". It matches the Rfam family "Bacterial small subunit ribosomal RNA", at positions 338 to 795 of the family's 1533-position model. The record is from RNAcentral.
CCUACGUGAGGCAGCAGUAGGGAAUCUUCCACAAUGGGCGAAAGCCUGAUGGAGCAACGCCGCGUGGGUGAAGAAGGUCUUCGGAUCGUAAAACCCUGUUGUUAGAGAAGAAAGUGCGUGAGAGUAACUGUUCACGUUUCGACGGUAUCUAACCAGAAAGCCACGGCUAACUACGUGCCAGCAGCCGCGGUAAUACGUAGGUGGCAAGCGUUAUCCGGAUUUAUUGGGCGUAAAGGGAACGCAGGCGGUCUUUUAAGUCUGAUGUGAAAGCCUUCGGCUUAACCGGAGUAGUGCAUUGGUUACUGGGAGACUUGAGUGCAGAAGAGGAGAGUGGAACUCCAUGUGUAGCGGUGAAAUGCGUAGAUAUAUGGAAGAACACCAGUGGCGAAAGCGGCUCUCUGGUCUGUAACUGACGCUGAGGUUCGAAAGCGUGGGUAGCAAACAGGAUUAGAUACCCUUGUAGUC